This 1434-nucleotide long non-coding RNA is filed under the name Citrus maxima (pomelo). RNAcentral describes it as "long non-coding RNA (CMAX_LNC003012)". Lineage: Eukaryota; Viridiplantae; Streptophyta; Magnoliopsida; Sapindales; Rutaceae. The record is from RNAcentral.
UUUUAUGAGGAAAUGGGUGCAAAAGUUUUGAGUGAGUGGAGGAUUUGUAGGCUCACGGGUGACGCUCUGGAUGCUUAUGGUAAUGCUAAUAUUUAAAAGACGGCUUAGGGAAUUUGUUGACGCUUGUUGUUUGAUGGUGGUUCGCUAAUUGUGCCCUUUUGUUUUCUCUAACUGGGGACAGUGAAUUUCAAGGCUUUACUUUUGAGGUUGUAGUGUAAUGGAUGUGUUUACUCUAUUAUUAAUCAAAUGUAUUGGAUUACGUGCCUUUGUUUGUUGUUCCAAUCAUUGUCAUUAUGCUUAUGAAGUUGUAGCUUUUGUUUGUUUCAAUUUAGUAAUACUGAAUGGUUUUUGUAUCAUUACUCAGAUUCUUUUCUCAAAUUAUGUUUAUGGGGAGGAAAGGUUAUUUUCAGUGUUAGCCUCAUUUAGUGAAUGUAAGGGAAUGAGACAGCAGGGUUCCGGGGUUGGGUAGUUUGGGAUGUAUCUAGGGACUCCUAACAAGGAAUUCGGCACCAUUUAAUGUGGGAAGGGUUACGGACAAACCCCAUGUAUGUCCAAACCUGAAGGAUGGGGUUUAUCUGUGUUAGUUAAGAAAAUGGUCUAUUCACAUUUGAUUAAGUCUGUUUCCUUUUUUAAUAACUGCUCAGCCCCUCACUGAUACUUUGCCACAACUUGCGGAGCAUUAGACUAUUUUUCUAGGAGCGAGGAAGGGAGAGAAGAGUAAAAGGAAUAAUUAGAGGAAGCAGAAGGGAAGGCUGAAAUGAAAGGAGAGUGAUGUUACUUCCUUUUGCCUGUGUCUUUUAAUAAAAGAUGAUAACUUGGUUGCAUAUGUUUGUCUAUUUGAAUAGGAUUAGCGGACCAGUUCAAGACCAAGUUUUAGGUUGAUUGUUAAAUUAUCCGAGCCCUUGAACAUGCUAGUUUAUAAAACUCAUUUAGUGGAUAUACACAGUUUAGGUUUAUCAACUCCAUCUAGUUUAGAAAUUGGCUGAGCCCCUGAGCACACUUCAGCUGGGCUCAAGCUGCUCAACUGAGUGGCCUCAGCUUGAACAUAUUGAAUAGAAGUGGUGAUUUGUUCAUGCUGCUGUAGCAGCCAAGGUUGGUUACUGGUUGGUCACUAAACUCGGUUAUUAGAGAUGAGAUUUUUCAUGAUGGACCUAGUUUGUGACAGGCAAACGCUUUUGUAUUGUCAAACUUGGCUUGGAAGUCUUAUGGUGCGUUUACUUGCUGGAUUGGGGAAUCGGAAUCCAGAAUCGGAAUGAUUGAUGAUGUUUACUUCGCAAAUAUGGAGUAGGAAUCGGAAUCGGAAUGGUGGGGCCCACCACUAUUUGGGAAUGGAGAAUGGGAGAUUGAUUCCUAUGGAGGAGGUGGGAGGAGGUGGGAAUGAGUCUCCCAUUCCCGGGAUUGACCAUUUUGCCCUCCCCCAAAAUUGAAAAUGCC